ACAACACAUAUCUACAGAGCAGAAUACAGAUAUUCCAUUUAUAGAGACUAAUGGUUUUAAAAAUUUCAUGACUGCAGUGAAGAAAUCAAACGUGGUCAUACUAACAGGAAUGCCGGGAGAUGGGAAAACAUCAGUGCUUAAUCACUAUGUUAACAAACUUAAUCUACGUAAAGCUGAAGCAAUAUUUCUGCGAAGUUUUACGGAACUGCAAAGUGCAGAAGCGAGAAAGAACAUUAUUUAUUUUUUGGAUAAUGUUACCUCCACUAUACCUGUUUCAAGGCGCCAUUCUUCUGAUGUACUGAAAAAUAUAGAUUCUGCAGCUUGCCAUAUCCAGAGAACAGAUCGAGGAAAAUUAGUCAUUGUCCUUCACAAAGAUGUACUGAAUUUCUUAAAAAUACGCCACGGAAAUUCUCUCAUUUGGUCAAAUUUUCCUAUUGUAGAUCUUUCAGAAUCCUUAAAUCAAAGUGACAUAAAUCAGAUUCUUCAAAACUAUGGACUACAAAUAGAGGUUUCUGAAGACGCGAAGACCGGUGUUUUAGCAGAGAGAGAUUUUUUAUGGGGGUUCCCUAAGUGUUGUCGAAUGGCGUCGUCAAAUGCAGAUUUCCCGCUGAAAAAAGAUAUGUCUAACAUUCUCAGUUUCCAGGUUAAAGUACUAGAAGAAUAUUUUGGAGAAAUGGAAGGUCCUUCCUUAGCUGUUCUCGCCUCAGUUGCUUUCCAUAGAAACACAGUCGAUCGUGACUUUUUCUCCAAUGCUUGUUCAAAAGAAAUGUUUUUUCGAGAUGCUUUCAUCUUGUGUGGGUCUGAAUAUAACCACUCGAUGCCUCUUACGAUGUCAGAAAUCGCAAGUGCGUUUCAGGGAGUCUUUUUAGUCGUAGAAGGUACAAGUAAAUUGUCAAUAGAGAAUGGAAUAGUUCUGGAGGCUAUAAAUCAUGUACUGUUGACCAGAAAUCCCUCAAAGUUUAUAGCAUGGUACCCAGUGGAGGUUCUAACAGAGUUCUUUAAAUAUGGAUCGGAAAAUAAAUCCAAAGUAUUAUUUCUGAAGUCUUAUAUAAGAAAUCUUCUAAUGCGAAUUACUUCAGAACUUGAAAAUCCAAACAUUGAUCUUAUUGGUAUGUUGGAAAUGAUAUCAAACAUGUACAUUUGGAGUAAACCUCUUUGCUUAACAUACUUGAAGCAAGAUAAAGCAAUGACCCCAAGACUUUGUCAGCUCAUCCCAACUGGAUCAUUAUUCGAGUUUUUUCAGCGUAGUGUUUCGCAGUCUUUUCUAUUUUAUCUGUACCAAGAUUCUGCUACGUUAACGACUAUUUGUCGAUAUUUUCUACAGAAUAAGGUCAAACACUUCGGCUCAUACAUUUUGAAUUCAGAUGUGAAUGUCAAUGCGACACUAGCUGAAAAGGCAUUUCCAUAUCUUGUGUUGUCUAAAACCAAAUCUGCAAAGGAGAUCCUGGGGCACACUCUUUGUUUAUGGCGCUUGACGUUGUAGAUGGCAUGAAUCUGGUGAACAAAUUUGCCACAACCAAGCGCGAGACUUGCAAUACAGAGAGAUCAUUAUUUGAAGCUUUAAUCAGCUCAUACAUGCUUAGCGUUAGGGGAAAGGAGACCUUUGAUCCUAUUUGCAUAUUACAACUAGGAAUUCAACAUUGUUCAAAAUGGCUUAUUGAACUGGCGUUGACAUUUGUUAAUCAAAUUUCGUGCAAAGCAUUUGAGCCGAUUAUGACAACAUUCAAAAACCAUCCAGAUAAAAAAAUUAUGAAAGCCUUAGGAUUUGCUGUGGUUCUAUAUUUUAGAAAAAGCUACAAAAAUACCUACGAUGUACGGGACGAAAAAUUCAGCACUGGAUACUUUGGUUGUGGUAACAAACAGUUCAAAGCCGAAAAAUAUACAUAUGAGGACUUUUGUGGGGUUAGGUCUUGUAGUACGCGGAGAAAAUGAAUUUAGUGAAGAAUCGAAGGAAAUGCUGCAAUUUGAAAAUAAAUGUGCAGAUUUACUCAAUAUGAAACUGAGUCCAGAAACAGUUAAAUCUCUUCUCCGAUCCCAUAAUAAUAUUACAAUAAUAUCAGCGUCUUGUGUCCGUAGCAAGGGCUUUGGGACUAAGGAAAACAAAAUAUACCAUACACCAUGCAUUCUAUUGUGCUGUCCAGUAAAAGGCAUCAUACCUGCGGAAGAAUUGCCCUUUCCAUCUACAUUGGAGGGUCAUGAAGUUGAUAUCCGAGAAGCAACAUGUAUGUUUGCAGCAAAUGAUGAACCGCUCUGCGUUGGAGAUGAAAUUAGAUCAGCAAAUUCAGGUUCCAUGGGAACUUUAGGUGGUUUUGUUGAUUUGCAAGGAGGCUGUUCCAAAGGGUUAAUAACGUGUGCUCAUGUUGUUUUUAAACCGGGUGAACUAAGAUUGAAAGAUUUUGGAAAGCUCAAAAAAUUUCAUCGAGUCUACACCGAGAUAACAGACGAGAACGGCUCUCAUAUCGGGGUUGUCGAGAGGGCUGUCUUUAAGGACGAUAAGUAUGAUGGUACGAGUGUGGAUGCUGCUCUGAUUGAAAUACCCCAUUCUAUCCCUGUCGAUGGAUCAUUCUCUAAAAAGAUGCGCAAAGAAGACGUUCGUUGUGCAGGUUUUUUUAACGAGUCGCCUCAUUUUUCUUAUGGAGGGAUUGAAAGUGUUAGUUUUUCAAACAUUGACUCAAAGAUUGUAAAAAUGGGAGCAGUGAGUGGACUAACUAGCGGAAGAAUCAAAUUUACGGAAUCCAUAUUCCGCAGUGUGUCCACAACCCUCAGUGAUAAAUCAAAUGUAACAUUCCGCGGACAAAUAGAAAUCAUGCCAGAUAUUGAUCCUACAGUAGAUUCAAAUGACAGGCCUCCAUUUUUAUCUUCUGGGGAUUCGGGUUCUUUUGUAUUUAUGGUUACGAGGAAAAACCCUUUAGUUUUGAAAUGCAUUGGUAUGGCUAUUUCUUUAACUUCAUUUGGAACGUGCUUCGUCACCCCGAUUGUUCCAAUAUUGGAAGCGUUAGAACUACCUCUGGACUGUCUUGCAAAAUUUCGCGAUUUACCGGAAGAGGAAGUAGACAUCAGGAGCUUUUUAGUUAGCAUCAAGUCAGAUGUCAAUCAAAUAAGAAGUGAAAUCAAUACUAAUUUAAAUGACAUAAAAUCUCAAUUGGCCAGUCAAGACCAAAAGAUUCGCCGAUUAGAUUCAGAGAGAACAAAAUGUAGCAUUAUAUGAGAACUUUUCCCGUCUUGCC
RNA transcript from Saccostrea cuccullata (small rock oyster), 3227 nucleotides. RefSeq lists it as uncharacterized. The record is from RefSeq and is a predicted model, not a curated record. NCBI's taxonomy places the organism in Eukaryota, Metazoa, Mollusca, Bivalvia, Ostreida, Ostreidae. The transcript is spliced from 2 exons.